CGAAUAUUUAAUUAAUCAUAUCAUUUUCGACAUAGAAAAUAAUGACUCAAAUCUUUGACAUUUGUUAUAAUCUAGGUUAUGUAGUAUAAUAUAUAGUCUGUGUCAUUUCAAAACUUUUCAAAACCAAAACAAACAUUUUGCUCAUAACUUGAUUAUAUCUUUAUUUAUCUAAAUACGAGAUUUCAAAGCUCCAAAUGGCUUUAAGCGGUCAAGUGGACUUUAAAAAAAGUUGUACCCCUAACCAACGGCAUUCUACUUGUCCUGUGUUUUAGUUUGGUUCCAAAACUAUCGAAAUGUCUCGCAACGCACUGCCUUCGUUGAGUCAGCUGGAAGAGCUAGUAAGCUUUUUGGAAAACAAACCAUGUUUGAUUAUGAUGGGCCCAUGAUCGUACUGCAAAUGCGAGCAGUCAUCAGGCACGAUCCGAAAACAACAGCCCCAAACAGUGACGUAGUGGGUGUAUGAAAAUAUUGGAGCUGUGGUAUAAGUACUGGAAGGACAAAAAGGAGCAGUGCAGAGGAAGUCCAGUUCAAUUGCAGCUGCGAGGCAACAUGAAGAAUUUGCCAGAACUCGGUGUAAUUGAGUUAAAAAUACAUUUCAUUAUGUGAGGAGAAUGUUUUGGAAUCUGAAUUUAGAUAAAUAAAUCCAUGUUCAUUAUAAAAUACAAAAUAAUAAAAAGACAUGUUGAAUUAAAA
Molecule: long non-coding RNA, 693 nt
Organism: Helicoverpa armigera (cotton bollworm)
Lineage: Eukaryota; Metazoa; Arthropoda; Insecta; Lepidoptera; Noctuidae
Exons: 3
Source: RefSeq, a predicted model, not a curated record